Molecule: ribosomal RNA, 498 nt
Filed under: uncultured bacterium
Lineage: Bacteria
Description: partial 16S ribosomal RNA
Rfam family: Bacterial small subunit ribosomal RNA
Source: RNAcentral
AUUGAACGCUGGCGGCAUGCUUUACACAUGCAAGCCGAACGGCAGCGCGGGGCAACCUGGCGGCGAGUGGCGAACGGGUGAGUAAUAUAUCGGAACGUACCCAGAAGUGGGGGAUAACGUAGCGAAAGUUACGCUAAUACCGCAUACGAUCUACGGAUGAAAGUGGGGGACCUUCGGGCCGCACGCUUGUGGAGCGGCCGAUAUCUGAUUAGCUAGUGGGUGAGGUAAAGGCGCACCAAGGCAACGAUCAGUAGCUGGUCGGAGAGGACGACCAGCCACACUGGGACUGAGACACGGCCCAGACUCCUACGGGAGGCAGCAGUGGGGAAUUUUGGACAAUGGGCGCAAGCCUGAUCCAGCAAUGCCGCGUGAGUGAAGAAGGCCUUCGGGUUGUAAAGCUCUUUUGUCAGGGAAGAAACGGCUCGGGCUAAUAUCCUGGGCUAAUGACGGUACCUGAAGAAUAAGCACCGGCUAACUACGUGCCAGCCGCCGCAGUAA